Molecule: ribosomal RNA, 585 nt
Filed under: uncultured bacterium
Lineage: Bacteria
Description: partial 16S ribosomal RNA
Rfam family: Bacterial small subunit ribosomal RNA
Source: RNAcentral
UGGGGAAUUUUGGACAAUGGGCGAAAGCCUGAUCCAGCAAUGCCGCGUGUGUGAAGAAGGCCUUCGGGUUGUAAAGCACUUUUGUCCGGAAAGAAAUCCUUGGCUCUAAUACAGUCGGGGGAUGACGGUACCGGAAGAAUAAGCACCGGCUAACUACGUGCCAGCAGCCGCGGUAAUACGUAGGGUGCAAGCGUUAAUCGGAAUUACUGGGCGUAAAGCGUGCGCAGGCGGUUUGCUAAGACCGAUGUGAAAUCCCCGGGCUCAACCUGGGAACUGCAUUGGUGACUGGCAGGCUAGAGUAUGGUAGAGGGGGGUAGAAUUCCACGUGUAGCAGUGAAAUGCGUAGAGAUGUGGAGGAAUACCGAUGGCGAAGGCAGCCCCCUGGGCCAAUACUGACGCUCAUGCACGAAAGCGUGGGGAGCAAACAGGAUUAGAUACCCUGGUAGUCCACGCCCUAAACGAUGUCAACUAGUUGUUGGGGAUUCAUUUCCUUAGUAACGUAGCUAACGCGUGAAGUUGACCGCCUGGGGAGUACGGUCGCAAGAUUAAAACUUAAAGGAAUUGACGGGGUCAUAGCUGUUUCCU